Molecule: ribosomal RNA, 433 nt
Filed under: uncultured bacterium
Lineage: Bacteria
Description: partial 16S ribosomal RNA
Rfam family: Bacterial small subunit ribosomal RNA
Source: RNAcentral
AGCGAACGCUGGCGGCAGGCCUAACACAUGCAAGUCGAACGAACUCUUCGGAGUUAGUGGCGGACGGGUGAGUACCACGUGGGAACGUGCCUUUUGGUUCGGAAUAACUCAGGGAAACUUGUGCUAAUACCGAAUGUGCCCUUCGGGGGAAAGAUUUAUCGCCAUUAGAGCGGCCCGCGUCUGAUUAGCUAGUUGGUGAGGUAACGGCUCACGAAGGCGAGGAUCAGUAGCUGGUCUGAGAGGAUGACCAGCCACACUGGGACUGAGACGCGGCCCAGACUCCUACGGGAGGCAGCAGUGGGUAAUCUUGCGAAAUGGGCGAAAGCCUGACGCAGCCAGGCCGCGAGAAUGAUGAAGGUCGUAGGAUAGUAAUAUUCUUUCACCGGGGACGAUAAUGACGGUACCCGGAGAAGAAGCCCCGGCUAACUACGUG